GACGAACGCUGGCGGCGUGCUUAACACAUGCAAGUCGAACGGUGAAGCGCCUUCCUUUGUGGUGGGUGUGGAUGAGUGGCGAACGGGUGAGUAACACGUGAGUAACCUGCCCCCUUCUUCUGGAUAACCGCAUGAAAGUGUGGCUAAUACGGGAUAUUCUGUGCCUGCUGCAUGGUGGGUGUGGGAAAGAUUGCGCCUUUGGGUGUUUUUGGUGGGGGAUGGGCUCGCGGCCUAUCAGCUUGUUGGUGGGGUGAUGGCCUACCAAGGCGGUGACGGGUAGCCGGCCUGAGAGGGUGGACGGUCACACUGGGACUGAGACACGGCCCAGACUCCUACGGGAGGCAGCAGUGGGGAAUAUUGCACAAUGGGCGCAAGCCUGAUGCAGCGACGCCGCGUGAGGGAUGGAGGCCUUCGGGUUGUGAACCUCUUUCGCCAGUGAAGCAGGCCUGUCCCUGUGUGGGUGGUUGAUCGUAGCU
Molecule: ribosomal RNA, 476 nt
Filed under: Actinomyces sp. oral taxon 170
Lineage: Bacteria; Bacillati; Actinomycetota; Actinomycetes; Actinomycetales; Actinomycetaceae
Description: bacterial SSU rRNA
Rfam family: Bacterial small subunit ribosomal RNA
Source: RNAcentral